This is a long non-coding RNA of Phascolarctos cinereus (koala), 1195 nucleotides long. RefSeq lists it as uncharacterized. NCBI's taxonomy places the organism in Eukaryota, Metazoa, Chordata, Mammalia, Diprotodontia, Phascolarctidae. The record is from RefSeq and is a predicted model, not a curated record.
AGCGUCCGCUGUCCAGCCCCUUCCAACUGCCGCAGCCACGCCACGCCCCCUUCGGCUGCGGGGAGGAAGAGAGAGGCCCAACCUCUUAAUCUAGGUCCCGAGUGGAGGGAGUGAGGCAUAGAGAGCUGGCAAAGUCGUAGAAGACCGCCCCAUUUCUGGGGGUGGGAUGGGGUGGAUUUGUCAUGCUGGCCUUGGGGUCAGAAAAACCCCGGGUUCCACAAUUACUACUCUGACUCUAUCUGCCUGAUGACGAGCAAGUAAAUCACUUUGGUCUCCUUGAGCCUCAGUUUCCUCAUCUGUAAACUGGGGAUAAUAAUACCUGCAUUACCUCCCUCAAAGGAUGCUUGUGAGGUUCAUAUUACAUAUGCAGAGCAUGUUGUAAGGGUGGAGUUGGUUAAAUAAGUCAGUCACCUCGCCUCAUCACCUUAAAGUAGAGAUGAAGAUGCCUGACACCUUAAUGAGGUGCUGCAAAGUGCUGGAGUUAUUAAAGAAAGGCAAAACCACGGUCUCUGGUGCCCUAGAGGAGCGCACAUUCUGACAGAGGAGGCAACAUGCAAACCAUGUACACACAAGAUAAACAUAUGCACGUAUGCGUGUGGAGAAAUCAAAAAUUUCAGAGAAAUUGUGAUUAGGAGAGAAAUUAAUAGAAGUCUGGUAUCCAGGAUAAAGGAAGAAAUCAUCUCGAUGUCCUCUACCCUGGUUACAUCUGGAGUAUUGUGAUGAAUUUGGGGAAAUCCUUUUCUAGUCUCAAUGAUCACCUGAAGAAUGGCCAGCAGCGGACAGCUAAGGCUUUAAAUUCGUGCCACAGAAGGAUCAAUUCAAGGAACUGAAGGCCAGUUAGUCAAUAAGCCUACAAUGACAUGCCUACUUUGUGCCAGGCACUAUGUGAAGCCUUAGGAACACAAAAAAAGGCAAGAGACAGUCCUGCUCUUAAGACACUAACAGUCUCAUGAAGAGACAAGAAAAGACGUGGUAACUGCCUUCAAGUAUGGAGAUCCAUUACCAAGAAAAGGGCUCAGUCAGUCAGCAAGCAUCAAUUAAAUGUUUAUUAUGUGCCAGGCUCUGUGCUAAGCACUUGGAAUACAAAAAAAAUCCACACAAAAACAUUUGUCCUCCCCUUAGGUGCACAUUUUCUAAUUUUUUUUUUGAGGCAAUCAGAGUUAAGUGACUUGCCCAGGGUCACACGUAGGUAGGU